GCCGGGGUAGCCUAGCCAGGUAAGGCGCAGGUCUGGAGAACCUGUGGAGCUUUGCUCCUCAUGGGUUCAAAUCCCAUCCCCGGCG
RNAcentral lists this transfer RNA (85 nucleotides) under Candidatus Hydrothermarchaeota archaeon. Its description in RNAcentral is "tRNA-Ser". It matches the Rfam family "tRNA". Rfam says of the family: Transfer RNA (tRNA) molecules are approximately 80 nucleotides in length. RNAcentral also lists the same sequence under 1 other name. Lineage: Archaea; Methanobacteriati; Candidatus Hydrothermarchaeota. The record is from RNAcentral.